ACCAGGUGGUAGUCAAAGAAAAAUUCGUCAGAAACCAAAGGAGGAGAAGAAGAAGAAGAAACUACAACUGCGAACACGAACACAACUCUGACCACAAGUGCUGCAGCAACAACGAAAAUGUCCAUCGCCAGUUGCUUCUUUGCCUCCGCGUCUCUCUCCACAAUCUCUAACAACAACACCCCAGAACUCAAUCUCAACCGUCCAUCUCCUCUUCCCCUCCGCCUCUCCGUCACGUCACCACCCUCCUCCUCCUCCUUCACCACCCCUCUCUCCCUCCACCUCCACCACCACCGCCGACCACCCACCUCCCUUUUUCUCGCCUUCUCCACCCCCACCUCCUCUGGCGGCGGCGGCGGCGACGACAACUACAACAACAAUGGUGGUAGUGGUGGUGGUGGUGGUGGAAAUAACAAUGAUGGCGAUGGCGAUGGUGAGAAUGCGGGUGA
This 446-nucleotide long non-coding RNA is filed under the name Citrus sinensis (sweet orange). RNAcentral's name for it is "long non-coding RNA (CSIN_LNC000975)". Lineage: Eukaryota; Viridiplantae; Streptophyta; Magnoliopsida; Sapindales; Rutaceae. The record is from RNAcentral.